Molecule: ribosomal RNA, 459 nt
Filed under: uncultured bacterium
Lineage: Bacteria
Description: partial 16S ribosomal RNA
Rfam family: Bacterial small subunit ribosomal RNA
Source: RNAcentral
CCUACGGGUGGCAGCAGUGAGGAAUAUUGGUCAAUGGGAGAGAUCCUGAACCAGCCAAGCCGCGUGAGUGAAGACGGCCCUAUGGGUUGUAAACCUCUUUUGUCGCAGAACAAAACCCGGGACGUGUCCCGGACUGCGUGUAUCCGAAGAAAAAGCAUCGGCUAACUCCGUGCCAGCCGCCUCGGUAAUACUGAGGAUGCGAGCGUUAUCCGGAUUUAUUGGGGUUAAAGGGUGCGUAGGCGGUCCGUUAAGUCAGCGGUAAAAUUGCGGGGCUAAACACCGACGAGACGUUGAUACUGGCAGACUUGAGUUGGCGAGAAGUACGCGGAAUGCGCGGUGUAGCGGUGAAAUGCAUAGAGAUCGCGCAGAACUACGAUUGCGAAGGCAGCGUACCGGCGCCAGACUGACGCUGAGGCACGAAAGCGUGGGGAUCGAACAGGAUUAGAUACCCCAGUAGUC